AAAAACAGGUUAAUAUUCCGUACCAUGGUCAGUUGUUCUAUCGAUGGAGUGACGCAGGAAGUUAUACCCGCACGGAAAGAAAUUGCCGUGUCGAACGGUGUAGGCAGUGAUCGCAGGCAAAUCCGCGGUUGCUAUUAAGCUGAGGCCGGACAGGCCACCGAAUCAAGUAGGUGGAAGGAGUAGAUACUACGCUGCCGAGAAAAGCUUCUAAGAGAGACUGAUUGUGACCGUACCGUAAACCGACACAGGUGGGUGAGGAGAAUAUCCUAAGGCGCUCGAAAGAACCCACGUUAAGGAACUCGGCAAAUUAACUCCGUAACUUCGGGAGAAGGAGUGCUCCGGUAGGGUGACUGGAAUACAUAGGAAACUUUGUAUCGAAAGGUAGCCCGAUGGAGUCGCAGAGAAUAGGCUCAGGCGACUGUUUAUCAAAAACACAGGACUCUGCUAAAGCGAAUAGCCGACGUAUAGGGUCUGAUGCCUGCCCAAUGCUGGAAGGUUACGGGGAGGAGUCAGGAGUGGUAACAUUCCGAAGCUCUGAACUUAAGCCCCAGUGAAUGGCGGCCGUAACGAUAACGGUCCUAAGGUAGCGAAAUCCCUUGUCAGGUAAGUUCUGACCCGCAUGAAUGGCUUAACGGUCUGAGCACUGUCUCAACGUGGGGUUCGGCGAAACUGUGCACCGGGUGAAGACGCCGGUAUCCGCAUCAGGACAAAAAGACCCCGUGGAGCUUUACUGUAUCUUGAUAUUGGAUUUUGGCCUGUUAUGUAGAGCAUAGGUGGGAGACUAUGAAGUUAGGGCGCCAGCCUUGGCGGAGUCGACAAUGGAAUACCACCCUUAUCAGUCUGGAAUUCUAACCUUGGCCCGUUGAUCCGGGUCGGGGACAGUGUCAGGUGGGCAGUUUGACUGGGGCGGUCGCCUCCUAAAGAGUAACGGAGGCGUUCAAAGGUUCCCUCAGCGUGAUUGGAAACCACGCGUAGAGUGUAAAGGCAAAAGGGAGCUUGACUGUGAGGCAAACGAGCCGAUCAGGGACGAAAGUCGGACUUAGUGAUCCGGUGGUACCGAAUGGAAGGGCCAUCGCUCAACGGAUAAAAGCUACCCCGGGGAUAACAGGCUUAUCUCUCCCAAGAGUUCAUAUCGACGGGGAGGUUUGGCACCUCGAUGUCGGCUCAUCGCAUCCUGGGGCUGGAGUAGGUCCCAAGGGUUGGGCUGUUCGCCCAUUAAAGCGGUACGUGAGCUGGGUUCAGAACGUCGUGAGACAGUUCGGUCUCUAUCCGAUGCGGACGUAGGAUGAUUGCGGGGCUCUGCUCUUAGUACGAGAGGACCGGAGUGGACAAACCGAUGGUGAACCAGUUGUCUUGUCAGAGGCACCGCUGGGUAGCUAAGUUUGGAUGGGAUAACCGCUGAAGGCAUCUAAGUGGGAAACCCACCUCAAGAUUAAUCAUCCCAAUCGAUCGAAAGACGAUGUAAGGGACCAUGUAGACUACGUGGUGAUAGGCCAGAGGUGUAAGCGUCGCGAGGCGUUAAGCUGACUGGUACUAAUAUCCCGAGGAUUUACCCGA
This 1557-nucleotide ribosomal RNA is filed under the name metagenome. RNAcentral's name for it is "bacterial LSU rRNA". It matches the Rfam family "Bacterial large subunit ribosomal RNA", at positions 1421 to 2925 of the family's 2925-position model. The record is from RNAcentral.